AACUAUAGAGUUUUAAGGCUACGGUCCAACAACCCCUUCGUCUAAACUAAUUACUAAAAGAAUAUCUACAUAUACAUUUUUGCAACUAUUUUGUGAAAUAAAUCAUGUAGUUGGAACUUAUUUACAAUGGUUGCCAUUGGAUUUUAAUGUUUGUUUUUGAUAAUUAGAAAAAAAAUCUUCGAAUUAAAAAUUUGACAUUUAACAAUCUUCCCUAAAUCUCUCCACAUUAACUACACGAUUAGUUAAUAAA
RNAcentral lists this small RNA (250 nucleotides) under Arabidopsis thaliana (thale cress). RNAcentral's name for it is "ATSL250460". Lineage: Eukaryota; Viridiplantae; Streptophyta; Magnoliopsida; Brassicales; Brassicaceae. The record is from RNAcentral.